Molecule: ribosomal RNA, 253 nt
Filed under: uncultured bacterium
Lineage: Bacteria
Description: partial 16S ribosomal RNA
Rfam family: Bacterial small subunit ribosomal RNA
Source: RNAcentral
UACGUAGGGGGCAAGCGUUGUCCGGAAUCAUUGGGCGUAAAGCGCGCGUAGGCGGCCCGGUAAGUCCGCUGUGAAAGUCAAAGGCUCAACCUUUGAAUGCCGGUGGAUACUGCCGGGCUAGAGUCCGGAAGAGGCGAGUGGAAUUCCUGGUGUAGCGGUGAAAUGCGCAGAUAUCAGGUGGAACACCUAUUGCGAAGGCAGCUCGCUGGGACGUAACUGACGCUGAGACGCGAAAGCGUGGGGAGCAAACAGG